GUUAUAACCUUAACCCCAUAAACA
This 24-nucleotide transfer RNA is filed under the name Caluromys lanatus (western woolly opossum). RNAcentral describes it as "partial tRNA-Phe". Lineage: Eukaryota; Metazoa; Chordata; Mammalia; Didelphimorphia; Didelphidae. The record is from RNAcentral.